Xyrichtys novacula (pearly razorfish) is the source of this 457-nucleotide non-coding RNA. Lineage: Eukaryota; Metazoa; Chordata; Actinopteri; Labriformes; Labridae. The record is from the annotation of a GenBank genome assembly.
GUGACUUUUAAAAAUCCCCUAAGGUUGGUUUUAAAGCAAUGCUGGACACAUAAACAAGAGAAGACACAACCCUCUAUGGUCUAUUAUAAAAAAAAAGAAAAGAAAAAAAACUAGAAAACUGUAAAAGUGCUUAUGUUGUUCAUGUUUAUAUAGUCAGAGUAAGACAUUUAAAUUCAUUAAGACUUACACAGCAGCAAAUGAAGCAGAGGUCAGGCUUUCUUCAGUGAUUCGAUGUGUAACUGUCUCAAGUGGUGUUGCAUCUCUGUGGGCUUUCUUGAUUUUACCAAACUGAUCCUCAACUUUGAAUCUUAGAUUACUUUUUUAAGCUUUUAUGCUUUUAUUGAGAGAGUAGGAGAGUCGAUAAAACAGGAAACUGGGAAGAGAGCAGGAUAUGACAUGUGGCAGUAAACUGUAGGCUGGAGCCGAACCUUCAAACAAGUGUAGGUAGUGAUUAAAA